CUCACAGGCACUUGCUGAGACCUAGGCUGAAAAAUGUGACUGACGCGGUCAACGUGGUCGAAGUGAGCCACACUUUGCAGGGAUUCUGAAUACACAGCGUUAAGAAAACCAAAGAUUUCCCAGGCUAGGAGACCGCCGUCGGUGUGGUGGUGUGAUUUGUGAUGGUGUGAUUCAACAAAAACGAAUGACAUGAAAACCUAUCCUGAUCUGACACUGCAGUCAAAAACCAGAGUACUGGGGAUCAAACUCAGGACCUCAGGUUUGCCAGGAAGGCACUCUUAAGAGAAGACAAAGCCUUCUGUGAUCUGGAGCCACAGCCGGCCAGAAUUGCAAGACAAAGCCCAUUUUCCACGAAGGAAGGCCCUUCUCCCCAUGUUCCAGUACAUCCAGUGCUUUCAGGGCACCGAAACGUCCUCAAGUGAGCAAGAGAAAAUGUUCAUGGGACAGAGCCCCUUGGCAGCCAAAACCUGAGAUGAGUAUCCCUGAAGACUGACCACAGGCCAGAGGCUGAGCCGCUGGGGCAAGAGAAGCAAGUGCAUUAGGCCCAAGCACAACAGCCGUAAGAAAGAGGUACUGUUCCUCCUGCCAUUUUGCAGAUAAGCCUGCUGAGGCUUGAAGUUUUAACAGCCCUUCAGGGUAAGCUGCCAAGUUAGGACCUGCGCCCAGGACCAGCUCAUCCCCAAACUCUUGCUCUAAGCUGCUCUGCCACCAUGUUAACACUAGCUUGUAAGUGUACACUUUCUGAGGCUUCUCCCUCUCAAGUAGCUGGUAACUUUCAAAUAUGUGUGUAUAACAUGUAGUCUCAAGAGGGCCGGGGAUUUAGCUCAGUGGUGCCACCUCCUGCCUCAAAAGCGCAAGGUCCUGAGUUCGAUCUCAGGUAUUAAAAAAAAAAGCAGUCUCAAGAAGUAAGAGUUUGUUCUAUAUCCUUAAGAUACAGAAAUGUAAAUUUAGGAAAUGGGAAUACUGACAUCUGAAAAAUAAAUAAUGGAACCCAACUUAUAGUGUUUCUGAUACAGUCAAGUGAAAAGCAGUGUAAAAGCCAUUGCUUCUUUGGGUUUGUCUGCCUUCUUAUUUCUUUUGUGGUCACGAGCAUUACCAGUGGAGAGCUUGGGUUUGUCAUAGGCAGACGUCUAAUCCUUUCGGAAAAG
Long non-coding RNA from Heterocephalus glaber (naked mole-rat), 1148 nucleotides. The record is from Ensembl. Lineage: Eukaryota; Metazoa; Chordata; Mammalia; Rodentia; Bathyergidae.